AAUCUUUGGUGCGGCCAUUUCAGAAUCAACAUUUUGAAUCGUUCCCAGGCCUCAUAGAAACUUUCUCCUCCUAUCUAUCUAAAAACAAUAAUCUCUCUUCUUAGUUG
Gossypium hirsutum (cotton) is the source of this 107-nucleotide non-coding RNA. Lineage: Eukaryota; Viridiplantae; Streptophyta; Magnoliopsida; Malvales; Malvaceae. The record is from Rfam.